GUCAUUUCCGGGGAGGGUCGGAAGUCGUUAGAUGCGCCCGAGAGUGGGCAUGUCUUGGGGGGCGGGGGGGCUCUUCUGAGCGCGAGGCCCCGCGACGCGGGUGAUGUCCCCUCGCCGGCGGCCAGGGUGGCCCCCAGCGGCGCAGCCUGCGGCAGCUGAGCACAACCCCCGACACUUGGCUGGUGAUUUUGGGUCUUUACCACAAGCCAAGGCUGUAUUUGCAGUUAGGGAAACUGAGGCCCGGCGGGGAAGGAACUCGGCCGGAGUCGCACGGAGGGAAGGGUGCGAUCGGAAGCCGCCUCUGGGGCCGCUGGCCGUGCUUCCCCGCCUCCGUGUGCUCCCCGGGAGCCGUCGCUCGGAGGCCUGGCUCCUGGAGCCAACGCGGAGGGCCCGGUUCCGCUAGUGGACGGACCGCCGGGGCGGGCGGAGCCUCGCCUGCCGCCGUCACUGCCUCUGGGGCCCCAGCAUCGGGUGCAGGCCCGGAGGUCAGCAUUCCAGCAGCCCUCGAAGGAAGAUGGCACCUCUUUCCUGAUAAUGGUGGAAGAUACCCUGAGGCUGGUUCUCCUGGGCCUCCUGUGGAAAUGGAGCAGAGGCAUGUACUGAACACGUACAGCUUGGUCUUUGGACAUGUGUGUGCCCAUGGAACUGCCACUGGGACAGCCGGGGUGCCCACUGGCGUUUCCUCCUGCCCCUCUGGACCCUCGCCCACCCCCUCCUGGCCCCCGCAAGCACUCAUCUGCUGUCUCCGGUCGGUCCACCUGCAUUAUUAGACUUUUCUAUACAGGGAGGCAUACAGUGUGUUCUCCUUGGUGUCUGGCUGUUCCCAUGCAGCACAGUUAAUUCUGAGAGUCCCUGGUGCCUUCCUUCCACAGAGGGGCAGACCUGUGUGCUGACCCGCUCGCCUGCUGGAGGGCAUUCGGGUUGUUUCCAGGUUUCGGCGAUCACAGCUGUGGCCCAUGAAUAGCCCUGCCCAGGUCUUUGCGUGGACGUGUGUCUUCAUCCCUCCGGAGAGGAUUCUGGGUGGCCAGCUGGCUCACAGCGGGGAGCCUGUGUUGAACCGUGGACAAAACUACCCAGCUUUUUUUUUAAACGGAGGUGUACCUGCUAUAGAAGGUGAGGUCGGUGUCAGGCGCCCAGGGGUCCGCCAGCCAAACUGUUCUGGAGGAGUUGCACCUGUUCAUGUUCCUGCCAGUGAGGCGUGGGGUUCCUGCUGUACUGGGGCGUUUUACCGCUUUAGGAAGGACACACACGCUCCCUGUUCCCCAUGGUCACGGUGACAGCUGCACGCUGGGUGGCUUGAAACAACAGGGUUUCACGCUGUCCCCACCGUGAAGGCCGCAAGCCCCCCAUGCGAGUGUCACAGGGCUGCGCUCCCGCUGUCCCUCCCAGCUCCGCCUUUGUCGCAUGGCAUCUCCUCUCUCUUAUCAGGAUGCUUGUCAUUGAUUUGGGGCCCCUCCUACUUCAGGAUGAGCUCAUCUCAGGAUCUGGAAUUACACCUGCAAAGGCCCCCUUCCUGAAACGUGGAAUCACCAUGGGCCCCUCCCUGUCACUCUGUGACUGCUGGCUUUGCUCGCCGUGGGCCCAGUCAAACCACCGUUGUGUCUGUCCCCCAAAGAGACGCUCAAGUCCUGCCCCCCGGGACCUGUGAAUGGGACCUUAUUUGGAUACAGGACCUUCGCAAGUACAGUCAGUUCAGAUGAGGCCGUACAGGAGGGGGGAGGCCGUGCUGCAGCGAUUGGUGUCCUCGGAAGGGGGAAAUCUGGACGCAGACGCACAGGGACGCAGCCACGUGCCACCGAGGCAGGCACUGGGGCGAUGUGACCGCACGCCGAGGGACGCCUGGGGCCUCGGGAGCUGGGAGAGGCAGGAGGGACCGUGCCCUGGAGCCUGCGGAGGGUGCGCGGCCCCGCCACACUUGGAUCUGGGACGCCUGGCCCCGGAACGAGAGAGAAUAAAUCUCGGUGGUUUGAGGCCCCAUCCCUGAGUGUGGACUCCGUGGCCGCUGCCCCCAGAGACUCAGACCCAGGGCCAAGGCCUCUGCGCCUGCGUGUGCUGCAGAACCCCGUGCCCCCUACCUGCCGUGGCAGCCCCUUCCCGCCUGGAAGCACACCGCAGCUGAAAGGUGCAGGGGACAGCGUGUGGCCAUACGAUGUCACCUUUAUGCUACGGUGCCAUGAUACACAGGUCUCCAGGUCCCCUCUGGAGAGGCUCCCUUAAAACAUCCCGAAGAAUCCAGCCCGCCGCGUUGACACUUGUGUGAAAUUUUUUUUCUUAAAAGUUUUGUUUGAAAACCUGUUACCUUGAGGCACUUGGCACAGUUUUCCCAUACUACUGGCUCCUCCCGGCCCCCAGGGCCACUUACGGGCGUAGUAGCUGGGGGUGGGGGGCGGGGGGCAGAGGCUCCGUGUAAGACCAGAAGCCGAGUGAGAGGGACACAGAGGCAGGACCCACCAGACCCACACAGACCGGGGCAGUCACCAGGGAGCCCCUCGCCAGCCACUGGCUCCUCACUGCCCGCUGACCGGUCUGGGGGGGGGGGUGGCAGCAGGCCCAAGGGGAGGACCCAGGUGACCUCGGGGCCUGGGAGGCAGCUCGCAGUUCCCGCCUGGCGCUUCCCUUGCGGUGCCCCGCUCCCUGGCCUGGGGGAGAGCCAGUCACGGGGUUGGAGGGCCGCAGGCAGCCCACUGCUGCGGAAGGUGGGGAGGCCCCGGGUGGACGUCAGGCCAGCUGGCGUGCGGGAGUGAAUGCGGCCACCUAGGGUCCCUGAGGCCUGUGUGUGUGCGGGGGUAGGGGUUGUGUUACGGAGCGAAGGAGCCCAGCCCAGCAGGCCUGACCCCACAGCUGGGGGACACCUGUCCUCUGGUGACCCUGGGCCUGCAGGGACCUUCAGUUUAAGCCUGGGGCAGUCCUGCGUGGGGUUGGUCCCGCCUGGCGACAUGAGACCAGACGGGGGACCUGGGGAGGCCUAGGAGCUGCGCUUGGGAUGUGGCCCACCCUCCUGCUUUUGUAGAUGAGGAGGUGCAAAGCCUGGGGGCUUCCGGGUUUGGGGCAGAGGAACUUGGGGUGGGGGUUGCUGUGCUGGCCCUGAGUCGUCUGCAGGCCCUCUGCCAGAGAUCAGAGAACAGGCCCAGGUCCGCAGGUCAAAGGAAUGAAGGACGGGGUGUCUGGGGAGGCCCCCCAACAUCAUGCUCCUGUGGUAUGGUCCCUGUGCCCAGAAAGGUCAGUCCCAACAAAACCCGACUUGGGGAGACGUGCAGCUCGUGGGGUGCGAGGGCCGUCGGGAAGUGCCUGGGGUCCUCGGCAGUCCCACGUGGGAGGGGCACUGCCUCCCUCCAGACACCCCCACCCCCUUCCCAAGGGAGGGGAAGAGGAUGGAGCAAGGGACCCCGGAAGGAGAAGCCCCGCCAGGGCAAGGCCUGCCCACCACGCCCCAGCUACACGAAGCCAGGAAGCCACCCGACCUCUGAAAGAGCAACGAGGAGACAACAUCCGCCAUCGCUCCCUGCGACCAGCAGCUCCCAGAGCGGGGGGACCUCAGACACAGGUCAGGCGUAGGCACGAUUCACGGCGGCUCCGCGAGGCAAGCCCUCUUGCUUCUCCUUCCGGCAAGUGGACUCUGGAAUGCUCAGACACCUGCCCACAAGGUCCAAACCCUGGCUCAGGCCCUACCAACUGACAGCCACGUGGCUCUGCACAAGUCACUCUGUCUCCUCCUGAGCGGGAUGGGGGCAAAUGGCAAUGGGACACCUGCCACGCCUGGUGGUCCUGGGGAACGGGAAAUGGAGCGGGUGAAGGCCCGGCCCUGGUGUGCGCCCCAGAGGUGGAGGACGAGCCGAGGCACUUGCAUUCACCAGCUCCAGACUAAGACCUGACAACCUUCAGAAGAAAGUGCACUGAAACCCUGCUGUGACCCAGGGGCUCCUAAAACACUAAACGAGCUGUUCUUGAAAGAAGAAACAAAUGGGUAACCGGGACUGUAUCCUGAUUGAGAAUUUCUGAUUGCCACGAUACCACCAAGAGAUAAGAAGAUACGCCACGGGAUAGAAAAUACGUGCCCUUGGGGGCGCCUGGGUGGCUCAGUCGUUAAGCGUCUGAUCCCGGGGUCCUGGGAUCAAGCCCCGCAUCUGCUCCCUGCUCCGCGGGGAGCCUGCUU
Non-coding RNA from Callorhinus ursinus (northern fur seal), 4153 nucleotides. Lineage: Eukaryota; Metazoa; Chordata; Mammalia; Carnivora; Otariidae. The record is from RefSeq and is a predicted model, not a curated record.